AUCCAUUGUCUAAUUAACCAUCGAAGCUAAGAAUUAAAACUAACCCAACUCAAUUGAAUAAAUGAAGAGCCCAAUUAAUAAGUUGAGUCCAUAAUUAACUUAUUAUCCUGGUCCAAUAUCAAUCUUAUUUAAACCAAGUCAUCCGAAAUAGGGCCCAAAAAUAAAUAGGCUUAAGAAUUUACUUAGCCUAAUUAAAUUAACCACUCUUAUAACAUAAAUCUAUAUAAAAUGAAAACUAGAGUCUUCUUAAAAUAAAGGAAAUCAGAUUCCUCCUUCUCUCCUCAGACGUGGUCUUUCUCUCUCUGUUCACUCACCCGCGUCUGUCACUCUCCCUUUCUCUCACGCUUGGCGACGUCGCCGGUCAUCGCCGCCUCCGGCGCGGCGAGGCCAGCGCCUCUCUCUCCCCUUCUUCUUCCUUUCCUUCCUUUUUCCUUAAUUCUAAGAUUCCCAAUUUCUAGGGUUUUCUGCCUCCCUUCUUCCCCUCUGGAAUUCGUUUCUCCGGCGAGGCCUGCCUCCACCGCCGUCGUCUCUGGCGCGCGGCCGCCCCUCUAACUCAGGAAUCGAUGAUUCAGGGGAUCUCCAGUUCGUCUACGGCUCAAGAUUCAAUUUUUAUAUGUUAUAAACCUAUUUUCCUUUAUUGCUUAUUGUAAAACUGGGAUUUUGAUGGUGAGGAAACAAUACUGUAUCGUUACUAUGCUUAUGUGUAGCUAUGUCUUUUCUGCUGUUCUUAAUUGUUCCUUUAUACACAAGGAAUUGAUUGAAUUGUAUACAAGAAAA
This is a long non-coding RNA of Salvia miltiorrhiza (redroot sage), 777 nucleotides long. RefSeq lists it as uncharacterized. NCBI's taxonomy places the organism in Eukaryota, Viridiplantae, Streptophyta, Magnoliopsida, Lamiales, Lamiaceae. The transcript is spliced from 2 exons. The record is from RefSeq and is a predicted model, not a curated record.